CCUACGGGAGGCAGCAGUGGGGAAUAUUGCACAAUGGGGGAAACCCUGACGCAGCGACGCCGCGUGAAUGAUGAAGUCUUUCGGGUUGUAAAGUUCUUUCAGUAGGGAGGAAAAUGCCGAUACCUAACUACUAAGCUCCGGCUAAAUACGUGCCAGCAGCCGCGGUCAUACGUAGGGGGCGAGCGUUAUCCGGAAUAACUGGGCGUAACGGGAACGCAGGCGGCAGGGCAAGUAAGGUGUGAAAGUCCCGGGCUCAACCCGGGGAUUGCAUUUGAGACUUGCCGGCUAGAGUGCAGUAGAGGGAAGUGGAAUUCCUAGUGUAGCGGUGAAAUGCGUAGAGAUUAGGAGGAACACCGGAGGCGAAGGCGGCUUACUGGGCAGUAACUGACGCUGAGGUGCGAAAGCGUGGGGAGCAAACAGGAUUAGAUACCCCUGUAGUC
RNAcentral lists this ribosomal RNA (440 nucleotides) under uncultured bacterium. RNAcentral's name for it is "partial 16S ribosomal RNA". It matches the Rfam family "Bacterial small subunit ribosomal RNA", at positions 338 to 795 of the family's 1533-position model. The record is from RNAcentral.